Long non-coding RNA from Electrophorus electricus (electric eel), 448 nucleotides. RefSeq lists it as uncharacterized. The record is from RefSeq and is a predicted model, not a curated record. NCBI's taxonomy places the organism in Eukaryota, Metazoa, Chordata, Actinopteri, Gymnotiformes, Gymnotidae.
CAGGAAUGAAAAGUCCCAGGAUAAGAGAAGACAUGCUUCUGGGGAAAGCAGUUAUAAGGAGGUUAAUAAGGAUGCAUUAAUUGAGCAGCAGGGUGUGUGUGAGAGAGAGGGCCUCUGUUCCAGUCUUUGCAAGGGAGUGCACACUGGUAUGCUAGAGGCCUGACCUUCACCGCACUGGAACAGAGAUAAUGCAAGGACUGCCUGCUGCCGAAAGAAGCACCAACCCACCUGUUUGUGAAUAAGUAGAAAUGAAAAUGAAGUAUCGCAUGUAUUGCAUGGCCAUCUCUUAUGGCAUGGCCAACUAGUUAAGUCUUUGUCUUUGAUAACCAGUGAAAAGUGACAACAUUCAUGUUUAGACCUUUAAAUUUUCAUGUAUGAAGGCCCUUCUUUGGAGAUGAUGUAUGUCUGAAUAAACGCAUGCUCCUCAGCUGUGAGCACUAAAACUUCA